This 253-nucleotide ribosomal RNA is filed under the name uncultured bacterium. RNAcentral describes it as "partial 16S ribosomal RNA". It matches the Rfam family "Bacterial small subunit ribosomal RNA", at positions 524 to 776 of the family's 1533-position model. The record is from RNAcentral.
UACGUAGGGUGCAAGCGUUGUCCGGAAUUAUUGGGCGUAAAGAGCGUGUAGGCGGCCCGGUUAGUCCGCUGUGAAAGUCCAGGGCUCAACCCUGGAAUGCCGGUGGAUACUGUCGGGCUAGAGUCCGGAAGGGGCGAGUGGAAUUCCUGGUGUAGCAGUGAAAUGCGCAGAUAUCAGGAGGAACACCAAUGGCGAAGGCAGCUCGCUGGGACGUGACUGACGCUGAGACGCGAAAGCGUGGGGAGCAAACAGG